This 490-nucleotide ribosomal RNA is filed under the name uncultured bacterium. Its description in RNAcentral is "partial 16S ribosomal RNA". It matches the Rfam family "Bacterial small subunit ribosomal RNA", at positions 30 to 507 of the family's 1533-position model. The record is from RNAcentral.
AUUGAACGCUGGCGGCAUGCUUUACACAUGCAAGUCGAACGGCAGCACGAAAGAGCUUGCUCUUUUGGUGGCGCGUGGCGAACGGGCGUGUAACGCAUCGGAACGUACCGAGUCACGGGGGAUACCUGUCCGAAAGGAUAGCUAAUACCGCAUACGCUUUGAGAAGGAAAGUGGGGGCUCUUCGGUCCUCACGUUAUUCGAGCGGCCGAUGUCUGAUUAGCUAGUUGGUGGGGUAAAGGCCUACCAAGGCGACGAUCAGUAGCGGGUCUGAGAGGAUGAACCGCCACACUGGGACUGAGACACGGCCCGGACUCCUACGGGAGGCAGCAGUGGGGAAUUUUGGACAAUGAGCGCAAGCCUGAUCCAGCCAGGCCGGGUGUGUGAAGAAGGCCUUCGGGUUGUAAAGGACUUUUGUUAGGGAAGAAAAGGAUAGGGUUAAUGCCAUUAUCUGCUGACGGUACCUAGAGAAUAAGCACCGGCUAACUACGUG